GAGUUCGUAGGCGGAUUGGCGCGUCUGCGGUGAAAUCUGGAGGCUCAACCCCCAAACUGCCGUUGAUACUGCAGGACUAGAGUGAGAUUGGGGUAGAUUGGAAUUCCUGGUGUAGCGGUGAAAUGCAUAGAUAUUACUUGGAACACCGAUUGCGAAGGCAGGUUACCAAGGCUUAACUGACGCUGAUGGACGAAAGCGUGGGGAGCGAACAGGAUUAGAUACCCUGGUAGUCCAUGCCGUAAACGAUGCUAACUCGAUGUGGGGACCUUUCCCUUCACACACUGUCCCAACUUAAUCAUUAAGUCCCCCGGCUGGUGAGUUCGGACGAAUGGAUCUCACUCGAAUGAAUUGACGGCCGCCCGAACAAGGGAGGGAGCGGGUUAAUUCAUUGAAUGCCACGGAAACAACCUUACACUUGAUUGACAAAUGACGGAAACAGAAAUAGAUGCUUCUCCCGACAUUUUUCAAUACGCUGGGUGCAUGGCUGCCGCUCGCUCCUGUCGGGGGAAGGUGGGUUCCUGCCGCAACGAGCGCCCCCUCGUUCUAUGCUGCCAUUCACGUUGAGGACUCUACUCAUACUGCACUGCCGGGGUCAGCUCAAGAGUGAAGGUGGACGAUGAAAUCAAAUCAUCCCGUCCCUCUAUGUCUCGCACUUCACCUACGCUGCACUGGACGGAACGCAGGUCUGCGAUGACUGAAUGCGAAUCUCAUCCGACAGACUCAGUCUCGAUUGGAAUCUAGGUCUGCACCUCAUCCUCCUGAAGUCGGAGUCGCUCGUAAUCGCAGAUUGGCAAUGCUGCGACGAAUACGGGCCUUGUACUUGU
This 824-nucleotide ribosomal RNA is filed under the name Chryseobacterium sp. RNAcentral describes it as "bacterial SSU rRNA". It matches the Rfam family "Bacterial small subunit ribosomal RNA", at positions 565 to 1390 of the family's 1533-position model. Lineage: Bacteria; Pseudomonadati; Bacteroidota; Flavobacteriia; Flavobacteriales; Weeksellaceae. The record is from RNAcentral.